UGAGGAAUAUUGGUCAAUGAACGAGAGUCUGAACCAGCCAAGUAGCGUGAAGGAUGAAGGUUCUAUGGAUUGUAAACUUCUUUUAUACGGGAAUAAACGGAUCCACGUGUGGAUUUUUGCAUGUACCGUAUGAAUAAGGAUCGGCUAACUCCGUGCCAGCAGCCGCGGUAAUACGGAGGAUCCGAGCGUUAUCCGGAUUUAUUGGGUUUAAAGGGAGCGUAGAUGGGUUGUUAAGUCAGUUGUGAAAGUUUGCGGCUCAACCGUAAAAUUGCAAUUGAUACUGGCAGUCUUGAGUACAGUUGAGGUAGGCGGAAUUCGUGGUGUAGCGGUGAAAUGCUUAGAUAUCACGAAGAACUCCGAUUGCGAAGGCAGCUUACUAACCUGUAACUGACAUUGAUGCUCGAAAGUGUGGGUAUCAAACAGGAUUAGAUACCCUGGUAGUCCACACGGUAAACGAUGAAUACUCGCUGUAGGCGAUAUACGGUCUGCGGCCAAGCGAAAGCAUUAAGUAUUCCACCUGGGGAGUACGCCGGCAACGGUGAAACUCAAAGGAAUUGACGGGGGCCCGCACAAGCGGAGGAACAUGUGGUUUAAUUCGAUGAUACGCGAGGAACCUUACCCGGGCUUAAAUUGCAACCGAAUAUGGCGGAAACGCCAUAGCUAGCAAUAGCGGUUGUGAAGGUGCUGCAUGGUUGUCGUCAGCUCGUGCCGUGAGGUGUCGGCUUAAGUGCCAUAACGAGCGCAACCCUUGCCGAUAGUUACUAACAGGUCAUGCUGAGGACUCUGUCGGGACUGCCAUCGUAAGAUGUGAGGAAGGUGGGGAUGACGUCAAAUCAGCACGGCCCUUACGUCCGGGGCUACACACGUGUUACAAUGGGGGGUACAGAGGGCUGCUACCACGCAAGUGGAUGCCAAUCCCAAAAACCUCUCUCAGUUCGGAUUGAAGUCUGCAACCCGACUUCAUGAAGCUGGAUUCGCUAGUAAUCGCGCAUCAGCCACGGCGCGGUGAAUACGUUCCC
RNAcentral lists this ribosomal RNA (1019 nucleotides) under uncultured bacterium. RNAcentral describes it as "bacterial SSU rRNA". It matches the Rfam family "Bacterial small subunit ribosomal RNA", at positions 355 to 1375 of the family's 1533-position model. The record is from RNAcentral.